CCCAGACUCCUACGGGAGGCAGCAGUGGGGGAUAUUGCACAAUGGGGGAAACCCUGAUGCAGCAACGCCGCGUGAGUGAAGAAGUAUUUCGGUAUGUAAAGCUCUAUCAGCAGGGAAGAGAAUGACGGUACCUGACUAAGAAGCCCCGGCUAACUACGUGCCAGCAGCCGCGGUAAUACGUAGGGGGCGAGCGUUAUCCGGAUUUACUGGGUGUAAAGGGAGCGUAGACGGCUGGUCAAGUCUGAAGUGAAAGCCCGGGGCUUAACCCCGGAACGGCUUUGGAAACUGAGCAGCUAGAGUGCUGGAGAGGUAAGCGGAAUUCCUAGUGUAGCGGUGAAAUGCGUAGAUAUUAGGAGGAACACCAGUGGCGAAGGCGGCUUACUGGACAGUAACUGACGUUGAGGCUCGAAAGCGUGGGGAGCAAACAGGAUUAGAUACCCGUGUACA
RNAcentral lists this ribosomal RNA (447 nucleotides) under uncultured bacterium. Its description in RNAcentral is "partial 16S ribosomal RNA". It matches the Rfam family "Bacterial small subunit ribosomal RNA", at positions 330 to 794 of the family's 1533-position model. The record is from RNAcentral.